GCCCGAAUAGCUCAGUCGGUAGAGCAUGAGACUUUUAAUCUUAGGGUCGGGGGUUCGAGCCCCCCUUUGGGCG
Molecule: transfer RNA, 73 nt
Organism: Basidiobolus meristosporus CBS 931.73
Lineage: Eukaryota; Fungi; Basidiobolomycota; Basidiobolomycetes; Basidiobolales; Basidiobolaceae
Rfam family: tRNA
About the family: Transfer RNA (tRNA) molecules are approximately 80 nucleotides in length.
Source: Rfam